CUACAAUGGCCGGUACAGAGAGAAGCAAGACUGUGAAGAGGAGCCAAACUCAAAAACCGGUCCCAGUUCGGAUUGUAGGCUGCAACUCGCCUACAUGAAGUCGGAGUUGCUAGUAAUCGCGGAUCAGAAUGCCGCGGUGAAUGCGUUCCCGGGUCUUGUACACACCGCCCGUCACACCAUGGAAGUUGGGGGCGCCCGAAGUUGGUCGGGAAAUAGAUUACCUAAGGCGAAACCAAUGACUGGGGUGAAGUCGUAACAAGGUAAC
Molecule: ribosomal RNA, 265 nt
Filed under: uncultured bacterium
Lineage: Bacteria
Description: partial 16S ribosomal RNA
Rfam family: Bacterial small subunit ribosomal RNA
Source: RNAcentral